GUGAGGAAUAUUGGUCAAUGGGCGAGAGCCUGAACCAGCCAAAUCGCGUGAAGGAUGAAGGUAUUAUGUAUUGUAAACUUCUUUUAUCGGGGAAUAAAGUGCGGGACGUGUCCCGUUUUGUAUGUACCCGAAGAAUAAGGAUCGGCUAACUCCGUGCCAGCAGCCGCGGUAAUACGGAGGAUCCAAGCGUUAUCCGGAUUUAUUGGGUUUAAAGGGUGCGUAGGCGGACUGUCAAGUCAGCGGUGAAAGUCCAUGGCUCAACCAUGGAAUUGCCGUUGAAACUGUCGGUCUUGAGUGUAGAUGAGGUAGGCGGAAUUCGUAGUGUAGCGGUGAAAUGCUUAGAUAUUACGAAGAACUCCAAUUGCGUAGGCAGCUUACCAGGCUACAACUGACGCUGAGGCACGAAGGUGCGGGGAUCAAACAGGAUUAGAAACCCGGGUAGUCC
Molecule: ribosomal RNA, 445 nt
Filed under: uncultured bacterium
Lineage: Bacteria
Description: partial 16S ribosomal RNA
Rfam family: Bacterial small subunit ribosomal RNA
Source: RNAcentral